GGAUGAACGCUGGCGGCGUGCCUAACACAUGCAAGUCGAACGAAGAGGUCCCUUCGGGGAUACUUCAGUGGCGGACGGGUGAGUAACACGUAGGUGACCUGCCCCGAAGUGUGGAAUAACAGUCCGAAAGGAUUGCUAAUACCGCAUGUGGUCUGUGAGGUUAGAGUCUUGCAGACUAAAGCAGUAAUGUGCUUCGGGAGGGGCCUGCGCCCCAUCAGCUAGUUGGUAGGGUAAUGGCCUACCAAGGCAACAACGGGUAGGGGGCCUGAGAGGGUGACCCCCCACAUUGGCACUGACACACGGGCCAAACUCCUACGGGAGGCAGCAGUGAGGAAUAUUGCUCAAUGGGCGAAAGCCUGAAGCAGCAACGCCGCGUGCGCGAUGAAGGCCUUCGGGUCGUAAAGCGCUUUUGAGAGGGACGAGAUAGGACGGUACCUCUGGAAUAAGUCACGGCUAACUACGUGCCAGCAGCCGCGGUAAAACGUAGGUGGCAAGCGUUAUCCGGAUUCACUGGGCGUAAAGCGCGUGCAGGUGGCUUCGUAAGUUGGACGUUAAAUCUCCCGGCCUAACCGGGAGGAGUCGUUCAAUACUGCGGGGCUGGAGGGCAGAAGAGGGGGGUGGAAUUGCUGGUGUAGUGGUGAAAUGCGUAGAUAUCAGCAGGAACACCUGUGGCGAAAGCGGCCCCCUGGUCUGCUCCUGACACUCAGACGCGAAAGCUAGGGGAGUGAACGGGAUUAGAAACCCCGGUAAUCCUAGCUGUAAACGAUGGAUGCUAGGUGUGGGUGGUAUUGACCCCAUCCGUGCCGAAGCCAACGCGUUAAGCAUCCCGCCUGGG
This 835-nucleotide ribosomal RNA is filed under the name uncultured bacterium. RNAcentral's name for it is "bacterial SSU rRNA". It matches the Rfam family "Bacterial small subunit ribosomal RNA", at positions 27 to 877 of the family's 1533-position model. The record is from RNAcentral.